GCCGAAGUGGCGGAACUGGCAGACGCGCGGGACUCAAAAUCCCGUUCCCCUCACCGGGAGUGUGGGUUCGACCCCCAUCUUCGGCACCA
This 89-nucleotide transfer RNA is filed under the name Candidatus Peregrinibacteria bacterium RIFCSPLOWO2_01_FULL_48_20. RNAcentral describes it as "tRNA-Leu". It matches the Rfam family "tRNA". Rfam says of the family: Transfer RNA (tRNA) molecules are approximately 80 nucleotides in length. Their secondary structure includes four short double-helical elements and three loops (D, anti-codon, and T loops). The record is from RNAcentral. Lineage: Bacteria; Candidatus Peregrinibacteriota.